UGAGCACUCACUAUGUACCAGCACUGAAUGACGUUGGUGAUAAAAGAGAAAAAAAGAACCUAUGGCCCCUGACUUUUACAAGACCUCAAGGAUUGGUGAACAACUGUUCCAUGCUCAGCUGUCCUAUGCUGAAUGUCCUGGGAGCUAGGGGAUUUGAGGAAGCAGAAAUUCCGGACCACAGAGAUACUGAUUAUAUGUCACAGGCUCUUACUUCCUCCGAUGAGGGACUGAACCCGAGCCCCCUGCAGUGGAAGGGCUGAGUCUUAACCACUGGACCACCAGGGAAGUCACAAUGGUGGUUUUCACGUUGAAUCCUGUGUCGCUUUCAAAGAGAUGGUAUGAAACACAAUACAUCAGGAGAAAGACAUGUGCUGAUGAAUUAUGGUCCUGAAUGUCAUCAUUCCGGUGAUGUAUAUUAGAAUAGGGA
Molecule: long non-coding RNA, 427 nt
Organism: Balaenoptera ricei (Rice's whale)
Lineage: Eukaryota; Metazoa; Chordata; Mammalia; Artiodactyla; Balaenopteridae
Exons: 3
Source: RefSeq, a predicted model, not a curated record